UACGUAGGGGGCAAGCGUUGUCCGGAUUUAUUGGGCGUAAAGCGCCCGCAGGCGGCUUGAUAAGUUUCAGGUGAAAUCUCCCGGCUCAACCGGGAGGGUGCCUGGAAAACUAUCAGGCUUGAGUCAUGGAGAGGGAUGUGGAAUUCCCGGUGUAGUGGUGAAAUGCGUAGAUAUCGGGAGGAACACCGGUGGCGAAGGCGGGUCUCUGGGCAGUAACUGACGCUGAGGAGCGAAAGCGUGGGGAGCGAACAGG
Molecule: ribosomal RNA, 253 nt
Filed under: uncultured bacterium
Lineage: Bacteria
Description: partial 16S ribosomal RNA
Rfam family: Bacterial small subunit ribosomal RNA
Source: RNAcentral